CCUACGGGUGGCAGCAGUGGGGAAUAUUGCACAAUGGGGGAAACCCUGAUGCAGCGACGCAGCGUGAGUGAAGAAGUAUUUCGGUAUGUAAAGCUCUAUCAGCAGGGAAGAAAAUGACGGUACCUGAUUAAGAAGCCCCGGCUAACUACGUGCCAGCAGCCGCGGUAAUACGUAGGGGGCAAGCGUUAUCCGGAAUUACUGGGUGUAAAGGGAGCGUAGACGGUUAAGUAAGUCUGGAGUGAAAGGCCGGGGCCCAACCGCGGGACUGCCUUGGAAACUUUUAAACUUGAGUGCAGGAGAGGUAAGCGGAAUUCGUAGUGUAGCGGUGAAAUGCGUAGAUAUUAGGAGGAACACCAGUGGCGAAGGCGGCUUACUGGACUGUAACUGACAUUGAGGCUCGAAAGCGUGGGGAGCAAACAGGAUUAGAUACCCCAGUAGUC
This 440-nucleotide ribosomal RNA is filed under the name uncultured bacterium. Its description in RNAcentral is "partial 16S ribosomal RNA". It matches the Rfam family "Bacterial small subunit ribosomal RNA", at positions 338 to 795 of the family's 1533-position model. The record is from RNAcentral.